CUACGGGAGGCUGCAGUGGGGAAUAUUGCACAAUGGGCGCAAGCCUGAUGCAGCCAUGCCGCGUGUAUGAAGAAGGCCUUCGGGUUGUAAAGUACUUUCAGCGGGAAGGAAGGGAGUAAAGUUAAUACCUUUGCUCAUUGACGUUACCCGCAGAAGAAGCACCGGCUAACUCCGUGCCAGCAGCCGCGGUAAUACGGAGGGUGCAAGCGUUAAUCGGAAUUACUGGGCGUAAAGCGCACGCAGGCGGUUUGUUAAGUCAGAUGUGAAAUCCCCGGGCUCAACCUGGGAACUGCAUCUGAUACUGGCAAGCGUGAGUCUCGUAGAGGGGGGUAGAAUUCCAGGUGUAGCGGUGAAAUGCGUAGAGAUCUGGAGGAAUACCGGUGGCGAAGGCGGCCCCCUGGACGAAGACUGACGCUCAGGUGCGAAAGCGUGGGGAGCAAACAGGAUUAGAUACCCCCGUAGUC
Molecule: ribosomal RNA, 464 nt
Filed under: uncultured bacterium
Lineage: Bacteria
Description: partial 16S ribosomal RNA
Rfam family: Bacterial small subunit ribosomal RNA
Source: RNAcentral